AUGAACAUUCUCCAUCACAAAUCAUGGCACGUUCGGACAAAAUCCAACAUGGAACGGGUUCGCCGAGACGAGCGAAAAGCCGCCGAAGAUGAGCAGCGUGUGCUCGACAGGCAAAUUCAGGCGGAAAACGAGCGGCGCCUGAUGCAGUUGAGAGCCCGAGCCGAUCAACGAAUGGAGACGAUGUUUAGUGGAGGAGCUGGUUCGAGCUCAGCUGGAGCAGCAAAAGAUGUCAGCAUUUCAGAUGAAACGGGACAUGUGAACUUGUUUCAGG
Molecule: small RNA, 271 nt
Filed under: Caenorhabditis elegans
Lineage: Eukaryota; Metazoa; Nematoda; Chromadorea; Rhabditida; Rhabditidae
Description: Unclassified non-coding RNA Y18H1A.19
Source: RNAcentral